Molecule: long non-coding RNA, 332 nt
Filed under: Elaeis guineensis (African oil palm)
Lineage: Eukaryota; Viridiplantae; Streptophyta; Magnoliopsida; Arecales; Arecaceae
Description: long non-coding RNA (EGUI_LNC029337)
Source: RNAcentral
CCCAACUUUCCAUAUUAAUGGCGACAAACCUAAAUCUUGACCUAUCCUGAUCCUCUCCAUCCAUGGCCAGCUGAGAUAUCCAGUCUUAAAAUAUUAUAAUGUUGUAAGAAAUAUCCAUGAUCUAUGGUAUGAGGAGAUUGGUGCUGUUGCCACAAGACUCCAGAGAGGUGCUGAUGUGAUUGGAGUUGGAUGCCACUUGAGAUCCAUAAUGCCAAGGAGUAUCUGCAAAGAAAGUCCACACUCAUCAGGGUUGUUCUAACAGGGGAUCCUCUGAUGCUUAAGUUAGCUGGAGCUUUGAGAACAGUCGAGAGAAAAGAGAGUGAGAACCGAGA